GAGUUUCAAAGAAUGAGAGGUGAUCUAAUUGAAACCUGCUGAAUGCUUCAAAGGAUAGACAGGAUGGAAGAAGGUAUUUACUAGUGCCUGUGAAAUAUGAAGAGUUGACAACCCAACUGCAGGAAGUGGAAAUUGUGCUAUUACAUCUUAGUUUCCAUGCAGUGAUACCAUUGAGGUUGGAGGUGCUAUGAAAGUUAAACUGUUGCACAUGGAUAAAAUGGGUAUUAAGAACAUUCAGUUGUCUUUAGAGCAUGACAGUCCUGCAAAAUAAUCGAACAAAGUUGGAGAUAUCUGUA
This is a non-coding RNA of Chiloscyllium plagiosum (whitespotted bambooshark), 296 nucleotides long. The record is from RefSeq and is a predicted model, not a curated record. Lineage: Eukaryota; Metazoa; Chordata; Chondrichthyes; Orectolobiformes; Hemiscylliidae.